GACGAACGCUGGCGGCGUGGAUUAGGCAUGCAAGUCGAACGGUAGGAUACCUUCGGGUAUCUGAGAGUGGCGAACGGGUGAGUAACACGUAGGUGAUCUACCCUCAAGAUUGGGACAACCCAGGGAAACUUGGGCUAAUACCGGAUGAAAGCAGCAGUGAUGUUGUUUGAAAGGUGGCGUAAGCUGCCGUUUGGGGAUGAGCCUGCGCUCUAUUAGUUAGUUGGCGGGGUAAAGGCCCACCAAGGCGAUGAUAGAUAGGCGGCCUUAAUGGGUGGUCGCCCACACUGGGAUUGAGAUACGGCCCAGACUCCUACGGGAGGCAGCAGUCGAGAAUAGUCUACAAUGGCCGAAAGGCUGAUAGUGCGACGCCGCGUGAACGAAGAAGCCCUUGGGGUGUAAAGUUCUUUUAUAUGUGAGCAGUGCUUUCAUGUGAACAGCAUGGGGAGAGAGAUAUUAGCAUAUGAAUAAGCAACGGUAACUCCGUGCCAGC
This 490-nucleotide ribosomal RNA is filed under the name uncultured bacterium. RNAcentral's name for it is "bacterial SSU rRNA". It matches the Rfam family "Bacterial small subunit ribosomal RNA", at positions 28 to 512 of the family's 1533-position model. The record is from RNAcentral.